CAUAGGUGUCCAGUCCCACCACCAUAGGUGUCCAGUCCCAUCACCAUAGGUGUCCAGUCCCAUCACCAUAGGUGUCCAGUCUCACCACCAUAGGUGUCCAGUCUCACCACCAUAGGUGUCCAUUCUCACCACCAUAGGUGUCCAGUCCCACCACCAUAGGUGUCCAGUCUCACCACCAUAGGUGUCCAGUCCCACCACCAUAGGUGUCCAUUCCCACCACCAUAGGUGUCCAGUCCCACCACCAUAGGUGUCCAUUCCC
Long non-coding RNA from Oncorhynchus keta (chum salmon), 259 nucleotides. RefSeq lists it as uncharacterized. The transcript has 3 exons. The record is from RefSeq and is a predicted model, not a curated record. NCBI's taxonomy places the organism in Eukaryota, Metazoa, Chordata, Actinopteri, Salmoniformes, Salmonidae.